AGAGUUUGAUCCUGGCUCAGGAUGAACGCUGGCGGCGUGCUUAACACAUGCAAGUCGAACGGAGUGUAAACGCUGAAGCGAUUUCGGUCAAUUCUUGUUUAUACUUAGUGGCGGACGGGUGAGUAACGCGUGGGUAACCUGCCGUAUGCAGGGGGACAACAGUUGGAAACGACUGCUAAUACCGCAUAAGCGCACUGUACCGCAUGGUACGGUGUGAAAAGAUCUAUCGGCAUACGAUGGACCCGCGUCUGAUUAGCUAGUUGGUGAGGUAACGGCCCACCAAGGCGACGAUCAGUAGCCGGCCUGAGAGGGUGAACGGCCACAUUGGGACUGAGACACGGCCCAAACUCCUACGGGAGGCAGCAGUGGGGAAUAUUGGACAAUGGGGGAAACCCUGAUCCAGCGACGCCGCGUGAGUGAAGAAGUAUUUCGGUAUGUAAAGCUCUAUCAGCAAGGAAGAAAAUGACGGUACUUGACUAAGAAGCUCCGGCUAAAUACGUGCCAGCAGCCGCGGUAAUACGUAUGGAGCAAGCGUUAUCCGGAUUUACUGGGUGUAAAGGGAGCGUAGACGGCAUAGCAAGUCUGAAGUGAAAUCCCAUGGCUUAACCAUGGAACUGCUUUGGAAACUGCCAGGCUAGAGUGCAGGAGAGGUAAGCGGAAUUCCUAGUGUAGCGGUGAAAUGCGUAGAUAUUAGGAGGAACACCAGUGGCGAAGGCGGCUUACUGGACUGUAACUGACGUUGAGGCUCGAAAGCGUGGGGAGCAAACAGGAUUAGAUACCCUGGUAGUCCACGCUGUAAACGAUGAUUACUAGGUGUUGGGGACCAAAGGUCCCUCGGUGCCGCCCGCAAACGCAUUAAGU
This 861-nucleotide ribosomal RNA is filed under the name uncultured rumen bacterium. RNAcentral describes it as "bacterial SSU rRNA". It matches the Rfam family "Bacterial small subunit ribosomal RNA", at positions 8 to 865 of the family's 1533-position model. The record is from RNAcentral.